Molecule: small nuclear RNA, 91 nt
Filed under: Zalophus californianus (California sea lion)
Lineage: Eukaryota; Metazoa; Chordata; Mammalia; Carnivora; Otariidae
Source: RNAcentral
GGGCUCGUUUUGGCAGCACAUAUACUAAAAGAGAUUAGCAUGGCCCCUGCGCAAGGAUAACAUGCGAAUUUGUGAAGCGGUCCAUAUUAAA